This 470-nucleotide ribosomal RNA is filed under the name Selenomonas sp. oral taxon H23. RNAcentral describes it as "bacterial SSU rRNA". It matches the Rfam family "Bacterial small subunit ribosomal RNA", at positions 28 to 469 of the family's 1533-position model. The record is from RNAcentral. Lineage: Bacteria; Bacillati; Bacillota; Negativicutes; Selenomonadales; Selenomonadaceae.
GACGAACGCUGGCGGCGUGCUUAACACAUGCAAGUCGAACGGAGCGAAUGAAAGCUUGCUUUUAUGAGCUUAGUGGCAAACGGGUGAGUAACACGUAGACAACCUGCCGAUCAGAUGGGGACAACAUUCCGAAAGGAAUGCUAAUACCGAAUGAAGUGUGGGGGAGGCAUCUUCCCUACAUGAAAGAUGGCCUCUAUAUAUAAGCUAUCACUGAUCGAUGGGUCUGCGUCUGAUUAGCUAGUAGGUAAGGUAACGGCUUACCUAGGCGACGAUCAGUAGCCGGUCUGAGAGGAUGAACGGCCACAUUGGGACUGAGACACGGCCCAGACUCCUACGGGAGGCAGCAGUGGGGAAUCUUCCGCAAUGGGCGCAAGCCUGACGGAGCAACGCCGCGUGAGUGAAGAAGGUCUUCGGAUCGUAAAGCUCUGUUGAAGGGGACGAACGUACAUAAGUUGAAUAAGCUUAUGUAA